GACGAACGCUGGCGGCGUGCUUAACACAUGCAAGUCGAACGGAAAGGCCCUGCUUUUGUGGGGUGCUCGAGUGGCGAACGGGUGAGUAACACGUGAGUAACCUGCCCUUGACUUUGGGAUAACUUCAGGAAACUGGGGCUAAUACCGGAUAGGAGCUCCUGCUGCAUGGUGGGGGUUGGAAAGUUUCGGCGGUUGGGGAUGGACUCGCGGCGUAUCAGCUUGUUGGUGGGGUAGUGGCUUACCAAGGCUUUGACGGGCAGCCGGCCUGAGAGGGUGACCGGCCACAUUGGGACUGAGAUGCGGCCCAGACUCCUACGGGAGGCAGCAGUGGGGAAUAGUGCACAAUGGGCGGAAGCCUGAUGCAGCAACGCCGCGUGCGGGAUGACGGCCUUCGGGUUGUAAACCGCUUUCGCCUGUGACGAAGCGUGAGUGACGGUAAUGGGUAAAGAAGCACCGGCUAACUACGUG
Molecule: ribosomal RNA, 468 nt
Filed under: uncultured bacterium
Lineage: Bacteria
Description: partial 16S ribosomal RNA
Rfam family: Bacterial small subunit ribosomal RNA
Source: RNAcentral